UUCGCCUACGGGACGCAGCAGUGAGGAAUAUUGGUCAAUGGGCGGGAGCCUGAACCAGCCAAGCCGCGUGAGGGAAGAAGGUACAGCGUAUCGUAAACCUCUUUUGUCAGGGAACAAAGGCGGGGACUAGUCCCCGGAUGAGGGCACCUGAAGAAAAAGCAUCGGCUAACUCCGUGCCAGCAGCCGCGGUAAUACGGAGGAUGCGAGCGUUAUCCGGAUUUAUUGGGUUUAAAGGGUGCGCAGGCGGCCUGUUAAAUCAGCGGUAAAAGCCCGGGGCUCAACCCCGGCGAGCCGGUGAAACUGGG
RNAcentral lists this ribosomal RNA (305 nucleotides) under uncultured bacterium. RNAcentral's name for it is "bacterial SSU rRNA". It matches the Rfam family "Bacterial small subunit ribosomal RNA", at positions 334 to 637 of the family's 1533-position model. The record is from RNAcentral.